GGUUAAGUUAGAAAGGGCGCACGGUGGAUGCCUUGGCACUAGGAGCCGAAGAAGGACGGGACUAACACCGAUAUGCUUUGGGGAGCUGUACGUAAGCGUUGAUCCAGAGAUUUCCGAAUGGGGGAACCCACUAUCUUUAGUCGGAUAGUAUCCUUACGUGAAUACAUAGCGUGAGGAAGGCAGACCCAGGGAACUGAAACAUCUAAGUACCUGGAGGAAGAGAAAGAAAAAUCGAUUUCCUGAGUAGCGGCGAGCGAAACGGAAAGAGCCCAAACCAAGAAGCUUGCUUCUUGGGGUUGUAGGACACUCUAUACGGAGUUACAAAAGAAAGUUAUAAAUGAAGCGGUCUGGAAAGGCCCGCCAAAGACGGUAACAGCCCGGUAGUUGAAAUGGCUUUCCCUCCAGAGUGGAUCCUGAGUACGGCGGAACACGUGAAAUUCCGUCGGAAUCCGGGAGGACCAUCUCCCAAGGCUAAAUACUCCCUAGUGACCGAUAGUGAACCAGUACCGUGAGGGAAAGGUGAAAAGCACCCCGGAAGGGGAGUGAAACAGUUCCUGAAACCGUGUGCCUACAAGUAGUUAGAGCCCGUUAAUGGGUGAUAGCGUGCCUUUUGUAGAAUGAACCGGCGAGUUACGAUUUGUUGCAAGGUUAAGCGGAAAAAGCGGAGCCGUAGCGAAAGCGAGUCUGAAUAGGGCGCAUAAGUAACAGGUCGUAGACCCGAAACCAGGUGAUCUACCCAUGUCCAGGAUGAAGGUAAGGUAAUACUUACUGGAGGUCCGAACCCACGCACGUUGAAAAGUGCGGGGAUGAGGUGUGGGUAGCGGAGAAAUUCCAAUCGAACUUGGAGAUAGCUGGUUCUCUCCGAAAUAGCUUUAGGGCUAGCCUCGAGGUAAAGAGUCAUGGAGGUAGAGCACUGUUUGGACUAGGGGCCCUUCUCGGGUUACCGAAUUCAGAUAAACUCCGAAUGCCAUGUACUUAUACUCGGGAGUCAGACUGCGAGUGAUAAGAUCCGUAGUCGAAAGGGAAACAGCCCAGACCACCAGUUAAGGUCCCCAAAUAUAUGUUAAGUGGAAAAGGAUGUGGGGUUGCUUAGACAACCAGGAUGUUGGCUUAGAAGCAGCCACCAUUGAAAGAGUGCGUAAUAGCUCACUGGUCGAGUGACCCCGCGCCGAAAAUGUACCGGGGCUAAACAUAUUACCGAAACUGUGGAUGAACCUCUUUAGAGGUUCGUGGUAGGAGAGCGUUCUAAGGGCGGUGAAGUCAGACCGGAAGGACUGGUGGAGCGCUUAGAAGUGAGAAUGCCGGUAUGAGUAGCGAAAGAAGGGUGAGAAUCCCUUCCACCGAAUAUCUAAGGUUUCCUGAGGAAGGCUCGUCCGCUCAGGGUUAGUCGGGACCUAAGCCGAGGCCGAUAGGCGUAGGCGAUGGACAACAGGUAGAGAUUCCUGUACCAGUGCUAAUUGUUUAACCGAUGGGGUGACACAGAAGGAUAGGGAAUCGCACGAAUGGAAAUGUGCGUCCAAGCAGUGAGUGUGAGAAGUAGGCAAAUCCGCUUCUCGCGAAGCAUGAGCUGUGAUGGGGAAGGAAAUUAAGUACGGAAGUUCCUGAUUUCACGCUGUCAAGAAAAGCCUCUAGGAAGAGUAGUACUGCCCGUACCGCAAACCGACACAGGUAGAUGAGGAGAGAAUCCUAAGGUGAGCGAGAGAACUCUCGUUAAGGAACUCGGCAAAAUGACCCCGUAACUUCGGGAGAAGGGGUGCUCUAUUAGGGUGCAAGCCCGAGAGAGCCGCAGUGAAUAGGCCCAGGCGACUGUUUAGCAAAAACACAGGUCUCUGCAAAACCGUAAGGUGACGUAUAGGGGCUGACGCCUGCCCGGUGCUGGAAGGUUAAGAGGAGUGCUUAGCUUCGGCGAAGGUACGAAUUGAAGCCCCAGUAAACGGCGGCCGUAACUAUAACGGUCCUAAGGUAGCGAAAUUCCUUGUCGGGUAAGUUCCGACCCGCACGAAAGGCGCAACGAUCUGGGCACUGUCUCAACGAGAGACUCGGUGAAAUUAUAGUACCUGUGAAGAUGCAGGUUACCCGCGACAGGACGGAAAGACCCCGUGGAGCUUUACUGCAACCUGAUAUGGAAUGUUUGUACCGCUUGUACAGGAUAGGUAGGAGCCGAAGAGACGUGUGCGCUAGCAUACGAGGAGGCAAUGGUGGGAUACUACCCUGGCUGUAUGACCAUUCUAACCCGCCACGCUUAGCGCGUGGGGAGACAGUGUCAGGUGGGCAGUUUGACUGGGGCGGUCGCCUCCUAAAGAGUAACGGAGGCGCCCAAAGGUUCCCUCAGAAUGGAUGGAAAUCAUUCGCAGAGUG
Molecule: ribosomal RNA, 2358 nt
Filed under: Listeria monocytogenes
Lineage: Bacteria; Bacillati; Bacillota; Bacilli; Caryophanales; Listeriaceae
Description: partial 23S ribosomal RNA
Rfam family: Bacterial large subunit ribosomal RNA
Source: RNAcentral